RNAcentral lists this ribosomal RNA (253 nucleotides) under uncultured bacterium. RNAcentral's name for it is "partial 16S ribosomal RNA". It matches the Rfam family "Bacterial small subunit ribosomal RNA", at positions 524 to 776 of the family's 1533-position model. The record is from RNAcentral.
UACGUAGGGUGCGAGCGUUGUCCGGAAUUAUUGGGCGUAAAGGGCUCGUAGGCGGUUUGUCACGUCGGGAGUGAAAACUCAGGGCUUAACCCUGAGCCUGCUUCCGAUACGGGCAGACUAGAGGUAUGCAGGGGAGAAUGGAAUUCCUGGUGUAGCGGUGAAAUGCGCAGAUAUCUGGAGGAACACCGGUGGCGAAGGCGGCAUCCUGGACCGAUACUGACGCUGAUGAGCGAAAGCCAGGGGAGCAAACGGG